Molecule: ribosomal RNA, 402 nt
Filed under: uncultured bacterium
Lineage: Bacteria
Description: bacterial SSU rRNA
Rfam family: Bacterial small subunit ribosomal RNA
Source: RNAcentral
UGGGGAAUCUUGCACAAUGGGGGCAACCCUGAUGCAGCGACGCCGCGUGAGCGAUGAAGCCCUUCGGGGCGUAAAGCUCUUUCGACCGGAACGAUAAUGACGGUCCCGGGAGAAGAAGCUGCGGCUAACUACGUGCCAGCAGCCGCGGUAAUACGUAGGCAGCAAGCGUUGUUCGGAUUUACUGGGCGUAAAGAGUGCGUAGGCGGUUUUCUAAGUUCGGUGUGAAAUCUCCCGGCUUAACUGGGAGGGUGCGCCGAAGACUGGGAAGCUGGAUUGUGGGAAAGGCAGGCGGAAUUCCUGGUGUAGCGGUGAAAUGCGUAGAUAUCAGGAGGAACACCGGCGCUGUAGACGGCUUGCUAGACCAUAACUGAUGCUGAGGCACGAAAGCGUGGGUAGCAAACA